This 3306-nucleotide unclassified non-coding RNA is filed under the name Dimorphilus gyrociliatus. Its description in RNAcentral is "phosphatidate phosphatase". The record is from RNAcentral. Lineage: Eukaryota; Metazoa; Annelida; Polychaeta; Dinophilidae.
GUAGAUAAACUAGAAAAUUUCCCCAGUUCGAAUCUGGUGAGAACUUUUUAGGUAAACUGAAUAGGUAAAUACAAUUUCAUUGAUUAAUUUUCAUUAAAAAUUUGAGUCAUUAUUUAAAUUGAAGGCGUAAACAAUAGAAAAUACUAAAUUUUCUUUCUUCGCUCAGUUGUUAUCAGUUAUUGAACUGUCUUGCAUAGUGUCUUUGAAAGCAUUAAAUAAAAUUGUGCUGUAUUUAUAACGCCCGUGUCUCGUGACCGACAAUAUGCUCACAUAUGAUUCACUGAUCACAAAGUUGGUUAUCACUUCUGUUAUGCUCCCGUUCCAUGAUAAUCUCUUGUUUUCAAAUAAGAAUCUUUUUUUUAACUUUAUAGUCAGAGAAAAUAAUUUUAGUUUUCGUUUUUUCUUAUUCGCAGACAGAUGUGAAAUUUUCCGACUGGUCAAAAAACCUUUAGAUAGAAAUAGCUUAGGAAAACGAGCUGCAUCGAAUAGAAUAUUAAGAAAUAAUACAUUUGCCUCCUGAUUUACCACAAUGGCUAUGAAUUCUAUUUACAACGUAUUUACGCAUCUUGGCAAUCUUUAUAAGGAAAUCAAUCCUGCUACUCUUAACGGUGCUAUCGAUGUUGUUAUGGUUCAACAACCCGAUGGAAAGAUUGUUUCUGGCCCUUUUCACGUUAGAUUUGGAAAAAUUGGAGUUUUAAGAGCUAAAGAGAAGGUUGUUGAUAUUGAAAUUAAUGGUAGAUUCGUUGAAGAUGUUCAUAUGAAAUUGGGAGAAGCCGGUGAAGCUUUCUUUGUUGAAGCGACUGAAUCGAAUGAUGUUCCUGAAUAUUUAGCAACGUCUCCCAUUCCUAACUCUCUACAGUUUAUGGAAGAAGGAUUAGAACAAUUGAAGUUGUCACUAUCGGAAAAUAUUAAUGAUCUUGACAAAGCAACUCAAACUGAUCUUACUGCUGGACAUGUUGAAUUAUUGUCGCCAAACAACCCUGACGCACCCUUGGAUAUUAAUUUUGAAAAGAACUAUGAACAACUAAGAAACACUCCCCCGAAGGAUGGUUGUCACCUUUCAUCCUCUACGCAAACAUUUGAAAAUGAGAUUUUACCACUAAAGGUAUCCAAUGAUUGGAAAAGAAUGAAGGCUAAAAGGGCAAAACGAUACGUAUCCAACUCUGACGAUGUCUUCAAGCUUGACCACGUCAGCGGUGAACUGUCUAUGUCUUACAGCUUACCUCAUUUGGAUAGUGAAAAGUGGUCAGCUGUUGAUCCAGAAAUUCACCCAUUUAGCGAUGGUGACAUUACCCCUCAAAUGUCACCAGAACCUUCAAGAUCUCCUUCUCCUAAAAGUGAUACAGAAUUUGAAGUAAGACAAAUCAGAGCUGAAACUGGGGCCCAAACUAAUUUAACCGGCGAUAAAUUUCAAGUUAUCAACGAAUUAUUUUGGGAAUGGGGUGAAUUACCCAAAAGCACGUCAACAACGCCAGUUGCAAUCGAUAAAAGUGAUGUUAAUAAACAACCAAAUUGGAACUUCACGAAGAAUGGUAAACAAAUAAAAGAAGAAGGAAUCUAUUUAUCAGAUUUAGAAGCAGACGAAGAAGUCGCUUCACAUUAUUUAUAUUCGACUACGAAUGUCUCAUCUCGUUCUCCCGCACUCAAUACAAAAGACGAUGACGUUGAAAGUGGCCAUGGAAGAUCAUUACCUCAAUCGCCUGUUGAACAGGUUAUUAAACCUGUAGUGAGAAGACCCGAAAUUUUUCCCACGGUUUCCCUAUCCCUUUGUGGUAAUGCUAGUGAGGCAUCAAAAGAAAAAUUUGCUGAACAUCUAGUUACAUUUGAACAAUUCUGUAAAAAUCCCGAAAUAACAACCCACCCAAGUUUAGUAGUCAAAAUUGGGGAAAAGUUUUAUAAUUGGGCUUGUGCGGCACCUAUUCUGUUAUGUUUAAAUACUUUUGAGGAAAAUUUACCCGAGAAUUGCGUGGAUAAUUUGGUUAAGAAUCAUAUGUCGAAGAGAAAAAAGGGAUGGUUCUGGGGGUUUGGAGGAAGAGAUCCAUCUUCAACUAGUCAAUCAGGUGUUAAGAAUAACAAAGACAAUAAAAUCAAAGAAAUACCAUCUAUUACCAAAGAAUCGCCAGAAGAUUCUAAAGAAGAAAUUAAUGUAGAACCCGAUAAAUUUGUGAAAAGUACACGAUUAACUCCUGAACAAAUUGCGAAAUUAGGACUCAAGGAAGGAGCUAACGAAAUAACUUAUACUGUUACAACCUCCCUACAAGGUACUACUCGACUAGUAUCGUAUAUUCACCUAUUCCGCUGGGAUGAUAGGCUAAUUAUAUCGGACAUUGACGGAACAAUAACAAAAUCUGACGUCUUUGGUCAAGUCUUACCGAUGCUCCCCUUUUUCAGACAUGAUUGGUCUCAAGCUGGUAUUGCUAAACUGUACCAGGAUAUUCAUAGAAAUGGAUACAAAUUUAUAUACCUAUCUGCUAGAGCUAUAGGACAAGCUCACACAACUCGACAAUAUUUGAAAUCUAUUAAACAAAUUGGCCAGCACGAACUACCAGAUGGACCUCUGCUGCUAUCCCCCUCUUCCCUAAUAAGCGCCUUCCAUAAAGAAGUUAUAGAACGUAAACCUGAAGAGUUUAAAAUUAGCUGCUUAAAAGAUAUCAGAGAUUUAUUCCAUGAUCGUAAUCCAUUUUAUGCUGGCUACGGAAAUAGAUCGAAUGAUGUUUGGGCUUAUCAAGCCGUUGGAGUACCCCUCUCUAGAAUAUUUACUGUCAAUCAUAGGGGAGAAUUGACUUUAGAAAAGACACCAGGCUUUUUGUCAAGCUACGAAAAGAUGAAUUCCAUAGUAGAUCAUUUAUUUCCUCCGCUUGUUGACGGAGAAAGACUGCCAAAAUUAAAUAAAGAAAGGCAUACGUCCGGUAAAAUUGAAAGUUGCAACUUUCCAGAAGCUGAAGAAUUUAGCAAUUUUACAUACUGGAGGGAACCAAUACAAGAUGUUGUUAUUGACUUGGAUGCGUAUAAAAAGACCGGAGUUUUACCUGAAUAGACGUAUUACCGAUUUGUAUUAUAUCUUAUAUCGAAAAAAAACAAAGAAAAAUGAAAAAAAACCCAACUUUACCAUUGAAGUCUAUGUAUUCAUAUGUCAAUUUAAUGAAUUUUUUAAAUAUUAUUAUUUUGAUUUGGACAAGUUAAAGAUGUUUUCAGCAGGCUCAAAUAAUCUUAAACUUGCCCUAAAUAUUUAAUAUUUUAAAUUGAGCUCAACCAAAAAUUCGUAUUGAUUGUGAGUCAUGAUACACUAUAUACAUAUGUAAACUU